GGAGGCGGGAGAAGCCAUCGGUACUCUCGGGGUAGGGGUGAAAUCCUGUAAUCCCGGGAGGACCACCAGUGGCGAAGGCUGUUGGCUAGAACGCGCUCGGCGGUGAGGGACGAAAGCUGGGGGAGCGAACCGGAUUAGAUACCCGGGUAGUCCUAGCUGUAAACGAUGCGGGCUAGGUGUUGGAGUGGCUACGAGCCACUUCAGUGCCGCAGGGAAGCUGUUAAGCCCGCCGCCUGGGGAGUACGGCCGCAAGGCUGAAACUUAAAGGAAUUGGCGGGGGAGCACCACAAGGGGUGAAGCUUGCGGUUUAAUUGGAGUCAACGCCGGGAACCUUACCGGGGGCGACAGCAGGAUGAAGGCCAGAUUGAGGGUCUUGCUGGACGAGCUGAGAGGAGGUGCAUGGCCGUCGCCAGUUCGUGCCGUGAGGUGUCCUGUCAAGUCAGGCAACGAUCGAGACCCGCGUCCCACGUUGCUCCUGAGGAAAUUUCCAAAGAGCACACUUGGGAGACUGCCGACGA
This 518-nucleotide ribosomal RNA is filed under the name uncultured crenarchaeote. RNAcentral describes it as "bacterial SSU rRNA". It matches the Rfam family "Archaeal small subunit ribosomal RNA", at positions 595 to 1114 of the family's 1478-position model. Lineage: Archaea; Thermoproteati; Thermoproteota. The record is from RNAcentral.